GCUUGCUUCUUGGGGUUGUAGGACACUCUAUACGGAGUUACAAAAGAAAGUUAUAAAUGAAGCGGUCUGGAAAGGCCCGCCAAAGACGGUAACAGCCCGGUAGUUGAAAUAGCUUUCCCUCCAGAGUGGAUCCUGAGUACGGCGGAACACGUGAAAUUCCGUCGGAAUCCGGGAGGACCAUCUCCCAAGGCUAAAUACUCCCUAGUGACCGAUAGUGAACCAGUACCGUGAGGGAAAGGUGAAAAGCACCCCGGAAGGGGAGUGAAACAGUUCCUGAAACCGUGUGCCUACAAGUAGUUAGAGCCCGUUAAUGGGUGAUAGCGUGCCUUUUGUAGAAUGAACCGGCGAGUUACGAUUUGUUGCAAGGUUAAGCGGAAAAAGCGGAGCCGUAGCGAAAGCGAGUCUGAAUAGGGCGCAUAAGUAACAGGUCGUAGACCCGAAACCAGGUGAUCUACCCAUGUCCAGGAUGAAGGUAAGGUAAUACUUACUGGAGGUCCGAACCCACGCACGUUGAAAAGUGCGGGGAUGAGGUGUGGGUAGCGGAGAAAUUCCAAUCGAACUUGGAGAUAGCUGGUUCUCUCCGAAAUAGCUUUAGGGCUAGCCUCGAGGUAAAGAGUCAUGGAGGUAGAGCACUGUUUGGACUAGGGGCCCUUCUCGGGUUACCGAAUUCAGAUAAACUCCGAAUGCCAUGUACUUAUACUCGGGAGUCAGACUGCGAGUGAUAAGAUCCGUAGUCGAAAGGGAAACAGCC
RNAcentral lists this ribosomal RNA (751 nucleotides) under Listeria monocytogenes. Its description in RNAcentral is "partial 23S ribosomal RNA". It matches the Rfam family "Bacterial large subunit ribosomal RNA", at positions 283 to 1027 of the family's 2925-position model. Lineage: Bacteria; Bacillati; Bacillota; Bacilli; Caryophanales; Listeriaceae. The record is from RNAcentral.